CCAUGAACAAUUCCACUAACUGUAGGCGCCCCUUAACUCUUAUAGCAUUACUCCAACAUAUAUGCUGCAUAAUCAUGUCUUCUUCCACAUUGCAAUUUGAACUAUGCUUUUUGAAAUUAGAUCUAGACAAACCAGCAGUCCCAUAUAUUCAUAAUAAGCUGCUGCAUAGAAGUGUUUCCCUCCACAUUUCAGUUGGAUCCUUGACUUACUGCAAUAUUUUCUGCACCGCUUUGUCAUACAGAGGCUACUACCUCUAGUUGUGAUUACCA
This 269-nucleotide long non-coding RNA is filed under the name Fragaria vesca (wild strawberry). RNAcentral describes it as "long non-coding RNA (FVES_LNC003701)". Lineage: Eukaryota; Viridiplantae; Streptophyta; Magnoliopsida; Rosales; Rosaceae. The record is from RNAcentral.